GACAAGCUAAAUUUUUACUUAAGUACUAACUACUCUAUCCCAAAAGAGAUUAAUCAGUCAGGCGACUGAUUUUUGUCAGUGCUGCGUAUCUCCCACCAACGAAUUGGUAAUAGCGUGAUCAUGUGGUUCUUGAUAUGCCGAUGGCAUCUUUCAAAAUUUGACAAAAGUGAUUUUUUUUCCCUUGAGUAUCUACUUAAAUAUUGGUUGUAUCAUUAAUGCUUAGUUACAAUAUAUUUUGAAAUAAUAAUUAUAUUUAGAUUAUUUUCAAGAAUAUAGUAUGAUACUGUGUUAUUAUGUUCUUUAAAUAAUAUUUUUGUUAACGUUAGACAUUUUUCAAUUUGGCCUUCUUAAUAUUUGCAUUAAUGUUUCUAUAGUCUAUUAAGAUAAAAUUUGUUUUAAUAUCUAUAUUUGAUUGUCUAUCCCUUGUUAUUCUGUGAUAACUACAUUUACUAUUGUCCCUUACCCAAACAACCUGAAUAAUUAGGUUCAGGUUAAGUCUAUUUUAUAAAUUGAUAUAAUAUAUAUUAUGUCAAAAUCAAUUAAUUAUUAUUGUUUCUUUUUAAUAUAGAUAUGUUUUUGGGCUGGAUAAUACUUUUUUUCUAACUGGUUUUACAAACAAUUAUGUGUAUUGCCAUAGUAACAAACAAAUAGCAAAAACAUCUAUAAUUCCUAAUGUUUCUUUGCAGAGAAAAAAUAUUGAUUGGCAUUCUUCUUUAGCUUUUUUUAAUCAUGUUUUCGCAGUUUAUCACAUUUUGCUAUUGUAAAUUAAACGUGUUUAUAUCCAUUAAAUGGUUUCUAAAAAUUAUUGUUUCAAUAUUGUAACCAGUUUCAUAUCAUUUUAUCAGUUCAGAAGUUGCUAAGUUUAAAUGCCAAGUCAGAUACUCAUACAAUAAAAAUCCCUAUAAAUGUAAACAUGAUCAAAAAAUUAAUAUUAUUGAUUCGAGUUCAAAAUCUAAAAUAAAUUGUUAUAUUUUUUUCUCUUGUUUUUGAGGUUAUUGCAUGAUAAAAGGUUAUUAUUGUCUGCAUAUUCAAGUGUUUUUAAUGCAGAAGCUCUGCUGCUUAACAUUAUUGUAUUACAGUGCUUCUCGGCCUUUAUUUUCGGUGACACCCUAAUUUAGAUCAAUAUAAAUGGUAUCACAUUUAAAACAAUUAAUGGAUUUUUGAACGAGUACCUAAUUAUUACAGACCUAUAAGUUCAUUGAGAACAGGACUAUCUUCACAAUUGUUUUUCUUAUAAAUUAUUAGUGAUGUUUUUGACCAUCAACCCAUAGACUAUCCCGAUAUAUCGAGGUAAUUAUUUAAUAAAUUCACAGUGUGUGAAAAACCCUAACAUUUUCCGGUAUUGAAAAAACCCCCUGGAUGAUUUCAUUUAAGUUUAAAAAGAGGAUGUCUGGUAACUAGGGUUGCUAACUCUUAUUUACAGAUAAGCGGGAAACCAGAUAUUUACAAGCAGGACUCGACAAAAAAAAACGGGACAAUACUACAAAUUUACAAAAUCGAAAGAAAAACAAUUUUAAUCAUUUUUAUCAGUUUUAUUUAAAAUUUGAAAUAAAAUUAACAGAAUAAUCAUCUUAAGUUUUUAACACAAUAUUAAUCAUUAAAUAAAACACUUUGCUCAGUUAAGAGUACCUUAUCACAAGACAAUUAGUUUUUCUUUUUGAAAGAGUACUUGUCUUGUGAUUCGGCACAUUUGAGCAUGUAGGAUUAAAAUAAAAAAAUGAACCAGGACUAAUAGACUAAAAACACUAAAUUACUCUAUUACUUAACAAAAUAAUUUUUUAAUUACAUAUCAUUUAAUAAGCAUAAGUUCUAAAAAUAACUACCCAUUCUAAAUAAUAUUACACUAAACGCUUAUGAUAACAAUAAUAAUUUAGAUGGAAUAAUCGAUGGAAAAUAAUUUCAAAUGCGCAAAAUACGAACAUUACGAACGUAAUAUUUAUAUUUAAUAGGACUUUGACAGGUUUACCUAGAAGCGGGAUAAUUAGCGUCCCGCGAACACGCAUAGCGGGACGCAAUAUUUGAGCCCUGUAGACGGUUGGCAACGCUACUGGUAACCCUCGCCAUAAUGCCAUAGUAAUGUCAUAUUUUGUUUAUA
Myzus persicae (green peach aphid) is the source of this 2095-nucleotide long non-coding RNA. RefSeq lists it as uncharacterized. The transcript has 2 exons. The record is from RefSeq and is a predicted model, not a curated record. Lineage: Eukaryota; Metazoa; Arthropoda; Insecta; Hemiptera; Aphididae.